UGCGGCCUAUUUUUUGGGGGAGGUGGUGGCUCGAUGCAGGCCUCCAUCCGGCGCUCUCCAACGGGCGCAGGAGGACAACGGUGCACCCCCCGCGUUCCACCGAGCCUCCUCGGUCGCGUGGCGCGCGGGGACGUGCGAUGCUCUCGGACCCAGCGAAUGCCGUGGGCGAGGACUCACGUCCCAGUCCCGAUAGAAGCUCCCACAUAAUGCUGACGGCCGCUCCCGUCCCCCGACCGCCCCGGCGACGCGGGGCGAGGCGCGGCGUCGCGGAGGAAUGCUACCU
Molecule: unclassified non-coding RNA, 283 nt
Filed under: Acacia cowleana
Lineage: Eukaryota; Viridiplantae; Streptophyta; Magnoliopsida; Fabales; Fabaceae
Description: partial external transcribed spacer
Source: RNAcentral